GACGAACGUUGGCGGCGUGCCUAAUACAUGCAAGUCAACUGAAAUACCGGUAGCAAUACUGGUAUGGAGGUGGCGCACGGGUGAGUAACACGUAGGUAAUCUGCCUUCAGGUCUGACAUAACCCAUCGAAAGGUGAGCUAAUAUCAGAUGAUGCAGCGGCUUGACAUCAAGACAGUUGUUAAAGCUUCGGCGCCUGAAGAUGAGCCUGCGUCUGAUUAGCUAGUUGGCGGGGUAACGGCCCACCAAGGCUGCGAUCAGUAGCUGGUCUGAGAGGAUGAUCAGUCACACUGGAACUGAGACACGGUCCAGACUCCUACGGGAGCAGCAGUAAGGAAUAUUGCUCAAUGGCCGAAAGGCUGAAGCAGCAACGCCGCGUGAGGGAUGAAGGCUUUUGCUUGUAAACCUCUGUAGCGAGAGACAAAACUCCC
This 428-nucleotide ribosomal RNA is filed under the name uncultured bacterium. RNAcentral describes it as "bacterial SSU rRNA". It matches the Rfam family "Bacterial small subunit ribosomal RNA", at positions 28 to 455 of the family's 1533-position model. The record is from RNAcentral.